Dipodomys ordii (Ord's kangaroo rat) is the source of this 101-nucleotide ribosomal RNA. NCBI's taxonomy places the organism in Eukaryota, Metazoa, Chordata, Mammalia, Rodentia, Heteromyidae. The record is from Ensembl.
GUCUACAGCCAUCCCACCCUAAAUAUGCUUGAUCUCAUCUGAUCUCAGAAGCUAAGCAGGGUUGGGCCUGGUUAGUCCUUGGAUGGGGGCAACUAUAAAUC